Long non-coding RNA from Rhagoletis zephyria (snowberry fruit fly), 198 nucleotides. RefSeq lists it as uncharacterized. The record is from RefSeq and is a predicted model, not a curated record. Lineage: Eukaryota; Metazoa; Arthropoda; Insecta; Diptera; Tephritidae.
CUUCCAGCACUAGAAGCAACCUUGAGGAUAGACACAAAAGGCAGAAUAAGGAUAAAAAAAAAAACAAAGCAAACCACAGGAAAAUUACAAAACAAAAGAAUUAAUUAUUAGCUUAUUUAUCAACUUUCAUAUGAGCUCCUUGGUAAAGGCCUAAUAUAAUUUUUGGAAUUUAUUAUGCGAUAAUACACUAUAAGCCAA